AACAUUGUGUUCCAGACUGCCGGCAGUAAAAAAAAAAAAAAAAAAAAAAAAAGGAUGUGUACCCAGCUGCUCCAGCCUCCACUGCGAUCCUCUUCCUGGUUGCCGAACUUCUCAGUCUGCUGAAGAGGAAAGAAGCCGUGACGUGAGCUCCGCCAUAUUCCUACACCUUUUUCUAUGCUUACCGGAUUCCAUAGACAACUUCAAAUACUAUGGUAUCUGGAUCACCUAUUGAAAAAGUCCCCGUAGAAGAACCUGCACAACAACCGCCUAGUCAUGCUGGCCCCUUUUGCCUGCAAGCCGAGCCCGGGUGUGCCCUAAAACAGUAAAAAC
Hyla sarda is the source of this 330-nucleotide long non-coding RNA. RefSeq lists it as uncharacterized. The transcript is spliced from 3 exons. The record is from RefSeq and is a predicted model, not a curated record. NCBI's taxonomy places the organism in Eukaryota, Metazoa, Chordata, Amphibia, Anura, Hylidae.